This is a long non-coding RNA of Bufo bufo (common toad), 158 nucleotides long. RefSeq lists it as uncharacterized. The transcript has 3 exons. The record is from RefSeq and is a predicted model, not a curated record. Lineage: Eukaryota; Metazoa; Chordata; Amphibia; Anura; Bufonidae.
ACGAGCAUGCAGAUGAGCUUCACUGAGACGGUUUCUGACAGUUUGUGCAGAAUUUCUUUGGUUAUGCAAACCGAUUGUAGCUGCAGCUGUCUAGGUGGUUGGUCUCAGACGAUAAUGGAGGUGAACAUGCUGGAUUUGCAAGCCAUUGGCAUUUGACC